GUUUUAAUAAUUUAAUAAAAAUAUUAACUUUGUAAGUUAAAAUUAGAUAAAAUAAAGUCUUUAAAACA
This 68-nucleotide transfer RNA is filed under the name Idioscopus sp. 'myrica'. RNAcentral describes it as "tRNA-Thr". The record is from RNAcentral. Lineage: Eukaryota; Metazoa; Arthropoda; Insecta; Hemiptera; Cicadellidae.